Molecule: ribosomal RNA, 490 nt
Filed under: uncultured bacterium
Lineage: Bacteria
Description: partial 16S ribosomal RNA
Rfam family: Bacterial small subunit ribosomal RNA
Source: RNAcentral
AUUGAACGCUGGCGGCAUGCCUAACACAUGCGAGUCGAACGGUAACAGCAAGCAGCUUGCUGCUUCUCUGACGAGUGGCGGAUGAGUGAGUCAUGUCUGAGAUGCUGCCUGCUGUAGGGGGAUAACUACUGGAAACGGUAGCUAAUACCUCAUAAUGUCUCCAGCCCAAAGAGGGGUAGCUUCUUUCCUCUUUCCAUCAUAUGUGCCCAGAUGGUAUUAGCUUGUUGGUGGGGUAACGGCUCACCAAGGCGACGAUCCGUAGCUGGUCUGAGAGUAUGACCAGCCACACUGGAAGUGGGACAGGGUCAAGACUCCUACGGGAGGCAGCAGUGGGGAAUAUUGCACAAUGGGCGCAAGCCUGAUGCAGCGAGGCCGCGUGUAUGAAGAAGGCCUUCGGGUUGUAAAGUACUUUCAGCGGGGAGGAAGGGAGUAAAGUUAAGACCUUGGCUCAUUGACGGUACCCGCAGAAGAAGCACCGGCUAACUACGUG